GUGCAUCUUAAAAGAUGUUGCAGUAGAGUUUGAGAACUCUGCUUCAAGUAUUGCAAGUCUGAGACAACAAAUUGCAAUAUGUCUUCUUGAGAAUUCAGAUGACCUGACUGACCUAUGCCACUAUUGUGGGAACCAGGAUGGUGACACCCAAUGGAUUGGCUGCGACAUUUGCCCACGGUGGUACCACAGGAGCUGUGCAAAGAAGCCCCGCAAGAGCAAAGAAAACAAAUUUGUCUGUGAAGCAUGCUGGUCAGCCAGUUAGGGUUUCUUUUUUGAAAUGUGUGUUUUGUAUCGUUGUCUCCAAUAGUAUUUAUUAGUUGUUUAUUUAUUUAUUCUUUCAUUUAUGUUUGUGUUGCUGUGUGUGCUUCUGUAUUGUUAACAACAUUAAAAUUCAGCUUUGAUGUUGUUUCAUGGUUUACUGGUGUUCAGCUUCCGCUAUACCCAAUGUUUCUGGUAUAUUUGUUAGUUUAUUUCAAUUGGUGGUUUGUUCUUUAAUUGGAUAUUAUUAUUAUUUUUUUUGGUUUUAGUUUCAAUUAAUAAGUGCUGUAUUGGAAUUACAUUUUUUUACCUUUUGUUUUCUCUUUAGUAUUACUUAUUGUUCCGAAUUUGUUUAUGCAUAUCUCCUCCCAGCUGUUUCCAUUUGGCCAUUAUCCUUUUUUGUGUUAUAUUUGAAAUUUGACAUUUUUUGCGCUGUCCAAUAAAGGCUUGAUUUAAAUUUGCAGCAGAA
Molecule: long non-coding RNA, 727 nt
Filed under: Oreochromis niloticus (Nile tilapia)
Lineage: Eukaryota; Metazoa; Chordata; Actinopteri; Cichliformes; Cichlidae
Description: lncRNA (ENSONIG00000036159.1)
Source: RNAcentral